Molecule: transfer RNA, 73 nt
Filed under: Dallia pectoralis (Alaska blackfish)
Lineage: Eukaryota; Metazoa; Chordata; Actinopteri; Esociformes; Umbridae
Description: tRNA-OTHER
Rfam family: tRNA
About the family: Transfer RNA (tRNA) molecules are approximately 80 nucleotides in length. Their secondary structure includes four short double-helical elements and three loops (D, anti-codon, and T loops). Further hydrogen bonds mediate the characteristic L-shaped molecular structure. tRNAs have two regions of fundamental functional importance: the anti-codon, which is responsible for specific mRNA codon recognition, and the 3' end, to which the tRNAs corresponding amino acid is attached (by aminoacyl-tRNA synthetases). tRNAs cope with the degeneracy of the genetic code in two manners: having more than one tRNA (with a specific anti-codon) for a particular amino acid; and 'wobble' base-pairing, i.e. permitting non-standard base-pairing at the 3rd anti-codon position.
Source: RNAcentral
GUCAGGAUGGCCGAGUGGUCUAAGGCGCCAGACUCAAGAUAUGGAGGCGUUGGUUCAAAUCCCACUUCUGACA